This 504-nucleotide ribosomal RNA is filed under the name uncultured soil bacterium. RNAcentral's name for it is "bacterial SSU rRNA". It matches the Rfam family "Bacterial small subunit ribosomal RNA", at positions 26 to 522 of the family's 1533-position model. The record is from RNAcentral.
AGAUUGAACGCUGGCGGCAUGCCUUACACAUGCAAGUCGAACGCGAAAGGGGGAGCAAUUCCCCGAGUAGAGUGGCGAACGGGUGAGUAAUACAUCGGAACGUAUCCAGUAGCGGGGGAUAACCUCUCGAAAGAGAGGCUAAUACCGCAUACGACCUACGGGUGAAAGAGGGGGAUCGCAAGACCUCUCACUAUUGGAGCGGCCGAUGUCGGAUUAGCUAGUUGGCGGGGUAAAAAGCCCAACCAAGGCUACGAUCCGUAGCUGGUCUGAGAGGACGACCAGCCACACUGGAACUGAGACACGGUCCAGACUCCUACGGGAGGCAGCAGUGGGGAAUUUGGACAAUGGGCGCAAGCCUGAUCCAGCCAUGCCGCGUGAGUGAAGAAGGCCUGGUUGUAAGACUCUUUCGGCGGGUACGGAAAAGUAAGUACGUACGCGUAACACCGACCGAGUCCACUGACGGUACCGACCGACGAAGAAGACGAACCGCCGUAACUAACCGUA